Seriola aureovittata is the source of this 1409-nucleotide long non-coding RNA. RefSeq lists it as uncharacterized. NCBI's taxonomy places the organism in Eukaryota, Metazoa, Chordata, Actinopteri, Carangiformes, Carangidae. The transcript is spliced from 3 exons. The record is from RefSeq and is a predicted model, not a curated record.
AAGCAGAAAAAGAACCACACCAGAGCAACCAAAUGUGAUUAAGACCAUAAAAACCAAAACAAACUAAUACAACAAACAAGCUAUAUAGAAUGAAAAUUGGUCACUAAUGGAAACAUGAAAAGAUGGGAACUUAGAGCAGAGCUUUGAAUAAUAUUUGAUGAUUUGCAGCCACAUCUAUCAGUUCUGCAAAUUACAUUGACAAAUCUGCAAGUUCCAUAAACAUCACGUGCUAUUCUGAACUGUGAAAUUGCGAGUGGCGAGUAAACUGUGAAAAAAAAAAAAGAACCAGCCAUAUCUAAUUAUUUUAGAGCUGCAAUUUUCCAUCAUUUUCAACUAAUCUAAUUAUUUUCUUAAUUAACUUACUGAUAGUUUUAUCUAUAAAAUGUUAUAAUUUCCCACAGCACAGAAAGACAUCUUUGAAUAUCUUGUUUUGUCUGAAGCAAUAGUCCCAAAGACAUUCAGGUUUCUAUCAUGCAAGACAAACAAAACAUCGAAUUCUCAAAUGUGAGACAGCAAAUAUUUGAUAUUUUUGCUUUAAAAAAUGACAAAAAUGAAUAACUGAUUAUCAGAAUAGUUGCAGAUUGAUUUUUUGUUGAUCGAAUAAUCAAUGAAUUGCCUAAUAAAUGCAGCUCAAACUUAUUUUAUUAACAAGAUUCAUGAAAUUAUAGGAUGCAUAAUUUAACACUAAAUUGUCAGUCUUGCUAUUAUGACUCAUGCUACUUGCACAUUUUAUACAACACAGUUUAUAAUCGCACAGAGUGAAUGGUCUUCCGGGCGCAUAUGGACAAUAUUGUUUUUACAGUUCUUGUUACGUAAUAGGGAAGUUAACAACUCGUAAAUGACGUCUAUUAUAAGGAUUAUGCAAUGCAAGAGGAAUUGAAAGGAGCAGAAAACAGGAAGGAUAAUAUCUUUCCUUGAAGUUACUGAGAACUACAGUGUCCCUGAGAGCUUGACGCACUGCAACGUAAGGAAACACAUGCAAAUAGACAAACACAUUUAGAAAACAGCUUCAUUAAUUUGACAACACAUGCGCUGCAAAUUCUCACAACACAACGGAAGUGUUUCGAGGGGACACGAAAAGGUGAUGGACCCGACUGGGGACGCACUUAUUGUUCAAUGCUUUUAACUACAAUCAGUCACAAUUGGUCAUUGAACAACAAGUGUGUGCCCGGCCUGCUUGUAUCCGCAGGAAACACUUCCAUUGAGUUGAACUUGGCACAAGCGUAAUGACCGCCGAGACAAGCCUCAUGGAGGGGAGAGACUCUGUCCAUGUCCGUGAGGGCCGGUGGCAUCCACAGCGGCAUCCAUUACCCGAUCUGGCACCAACCACUGUAGGAGCAGCAGGAAGAGGAAGUCCAAAACAGCUACAAAUGCAAAGAUGGAGCCGGCGACAGGGCCGCAGUGAGCCC